This 253-nucleotide ribosomal RNA is filed under the name uncultured bacterium. RNAcentral's name for it is "partial 16S ribosomal RNA". It matches the Rfam family "Bacterial small subunit ribosomal RNA", at positions 524 to 776 of the family's 1533-position model. The record is from RNAcentral.
UACGUAGGGAGCAAGCGUUGUCCGGAAUCAUUGGGCGUAAAGCGCGCGUAGGCGGUCAGUCAAGUCGGGUGUGAAAGCCCUGGGCUCAACCUGGGAAUUGCAUUCGAAACUAUCUGACUCGAGUAUGGGAGAGGGAAGCGGAAUUUCCGGUGUAGCGGUGAAAUGCGUAGAUAUCGGAAGGAACACCAGUGGCGAAGGCGGCUUCCUGGACCAAUACUGACGCUGAGGUGCGAAAGCGUGGGGAGCAAACAGG